AGCGAACGCUGGCGGAAGGCCUAACACAUGCAAGUCGAACGCACCUUCGGGUGAGUGGCGGACGGGUGAGUAACACGUGGGAACGUACCUUUUGGUUCGGAAUAACGCAGGGAAACUUGUGUUAAUACCGAAUGUGCCCUUCGGGGGAAAGAUUUAUCGCCAUUAGAGCGGCCCGCGUUAGAUUAGCUAGUCGGUGAGGU
RNAcentral lists this ribosomal RNA (200 nucleotides) under uncultured bacterium. Its description in RNAcentral is "partial 16S ribosomal RNA". It matches the Rfam family "Bacterial small subunit ribosomal RNA", at positions 29 to 258 of the family's 1533-position model. The record is from RNAcentral.